RNAcentral lists this ribosomal RNA (562 nucleotides) under uncultured bacterium. RNAcentral's name for it is "bacterial SSU rRNA". It matches the Rfam family "Bacterial small subunit ribosomal RNA", at positions 102 to 674 of the family's 1533-position model. The record is from RNAcentral.
ACGGCGUAGUAAGGUGUAGGAACGUGCCCUCUGGACGGGGAUAGCUACGGGAAACUGUAGGUAAUACCCGAUGAUCUCUGCGGAGCAAAGGUGUGAUUCCGCCGGAGGAGCGGCUUACAUGAUAUUAGCUAGUUGGUGGGGUAAUGGCCCACCAAGGCGAUGAUGUCUAGGGGGUGUGAGAGCAUGGCCCCCACGACCGGAACUGAGAUACUGUCCGGACACCUACGGGUGGCUGCAGUCGAGAAUCUUCCGCAAUGGACGAAAGUCUGACGGAGCGAUGCCGCGUGCGGGAUGAAGGCCCUUGGGUUGUAAACCGCUGUCAGAGGGGAUGAAAUCUCCGGAGGUUCUCCUCCGGAGUUGACAGAGCCUCAGAGGAAGCACGGGCUAAGUAUGUGCCAGCAGCCGCGGUAAUACAUACUGUGCGAACGUUAUUCGGAAUCACUGGGCUUAAAGGGUGCGUAGGCGGCGAUUCAAGUCAGAUGUGAAAUGCCUGAGCUCAACUGAGGCAUUGCGUUUGAAACUGGAUUGCUGGAGUGUCCCAGGGGUGUGCGGAACUGCCAGU